This 385-nucleotide ribosomal RNA is filed under the name uncultured bacterium. Its description in RNAcentral is "bacterial SSU rRNA". It matches the Rfam family "Bacterial small subunit ribosomal RNA", at positions 954 to 1336 of the family's 1533-position model. The record is from RNAcentral.
GCAUAACGCGAAGAACCUUACCCACCUUUGACAUGUACGGAAUCCUUUAGAGAUAGAGGAGUGCUCGAAAGAGAGCCGUAACACAGGUGCUGCAUGGCUGUCGUCAGCUCGUGUCGUGAGAUGUUGGGUUAAGUCCCGCAACGAGCGCAACCCUUGCCAUUAGUUGCUACAUUUAGUUGAGCACUCUAAUGGGACUGCCGGUGACAAACCGGAGGAAGGUGGGAUGACGUCAAGUCCUCAUGGCCCUUAUAGGUUGGGGCUACGACACGUCAUACAAUGGCUGGUACAAAGGGUUGCCAACCCGGCGAGGGGGAGCGUAAUCCCAUAAAGCCAGUCGUAGUCCGGAUCGCAGUCUGCAACUCGACUGCGUGAAGUCGGAAUCGCU